CAUAUCUGCUGUUACGCAGCUUUUUCUUUCUUCUCAUCUUAUCUUAUCAGUCUCUCACUUUAUUGUUUUUCAUCUACACCGAUCGACUUCACAAGAUCGAUCGAUUGACCUCGCGAGAUCGACUCUCUCUCAUUGCAAGAUUGACCGAUCGACCUCACUCUUUCAUCGCACCGAUCGACCUCACAGAUCGACCGAUCAACCUUACUCUCUCAUCGCACCGAUCGACCUCACAAGGUUCAUCAACCAAAUGCAUGGAAUUAAAAUUUUUGGAACUUGGAUGUGAUUAAUGAUGAUGGAGUUUGAGAUAUUGUAUUGUUGCAAAUGUUUUUAUUUUAUUUGACAACAAUUUUAUUUUUAUUGCAUUUUGAAUGAAUGUAAUAGUUAAUGAAGUUUGUUUGACAAUAAUUUUAUUUUAUUUUUUUUCAUUUUAUUAUUGCAUUUUGAAUGAAUGUAAUAGUUAAUGAAGAAUUACUUUUAGGUAAGUUUAGGAUUUUGAAUGAUUUUACUUUAAUUUUGUAUUAUUG
Non-coding RNA from Camellia sinensis, 524 nucleotides. Lineage: Eukaryota; Viridiplantae; Streptophyta; Magnoliopsida; Ericales; Theaceae. The record is from RefSeq and is a predicted model, not a curated record.